UUUUUUUGCUAAAUAUGUUAAUAUCAUUAAUAAUGAAGUUGUGGCGUUACAAAGAAAACCAGUACAAAAGCAACUUUGGCAAAAAAGUAAAAACAAAGCUACAAUAGAUUUAGGAAAUUUUUGAAGACAUUAACGGAUCCAGAGAAGCAUUAGCUUACGCCAACGCUUCCUAAGUCUUCUCGAGGAAAUGAUGUUGCGGAUCUCACGAUCGACGAGCUUGAAGAUAACUGCAGGAGCUAGGCGAAGAGAGUUGUGAAGGAGAUUAUUUCUUUGACGCCAAAGAUUGUACACCACGACCUGAGAAACGAUCUUCCGAAGCAGAGGAGGCGCUUCCGGGGAGGACUGUCUGACCCAGGAAAGGAGCUCCGACCAAGAGCUGAAAAGCCGUUGACGAGGGCAGAUCCUGCGAAAAACCAGCCGCCACACUUGGGCAGAGAACUCGCAUAUCAGUAGAAGAUGAUCGCGAGACUCCGAAGCGAAAGAGCAAAGAACACAAGCGUCGGACUGAAUGUGUCCCCAAGAAGCUAGCCUUUGCCGCGUCAGAAGACGGUUGAGAUGGCUAACCCACAUGUUGAAUGCAUACUUCGGCACAGCUCCCUUGAACCAGAUAGAGGAGGCCCAGCUUUUCACAGUAGCCUUAGGCCGAAUAGCUUCCCAAGUCUUUGCAGCAGAAAAACCCUGGCAAAGAAAACCAUUAACAGACCAUUCGUAACGGUCGACAUCCUCCUGAGCAGUAGAAGGCACAGGCACCGUGCAUAAGUGAUCGUGAAUGCCCUUAGCAGGAGCGGAACGGGACACCGGAAGUCUCCACCCAUCUUCAGAAAAAGCUGAAGCAACCUUUGCAAGAAGAGGGACACGCAGAGAACUUGGCCCAAUGUCACCAAUGAUCCGAAAGAGAGGCCCAAGAGAAGUCCAGUUGUCAUACCAAUAGUCAGCUUUAAGGCCAUUACCUACUUUGCAUACUAGAAAUUGAUGCGCUAGAGGCCUUAGACUUAAUAACCUCUUCCAAGUCCAAGAGUCACUCUGACCCCCUUCAACAGCCCAGAAGGAGCCGCGACUAAGAUGAUGAAGGUGCUGCCAAUCGGCCCAGAGAGAGUCCUUAGCAACAAACAGCCUCCAAAUAAGCCUCAUACUAAGAGUUUUGUUCCAUUCUAGGAGGCGUCUUAAACCUAGACCUCCUUCAGAUUUUGGGAGACAAAGGGCUGCCCAUGAAACCUUUAUCCCUUUAGCUUGCUCAAUAUUUCCUGACCAAAGAAACCUAGAACAAAGACUUUCAAUCCUUUUGAUGCAUCCCUUAGGCAGCAGAAAAGUGGACAUCCAGAAGUUGAUGGAACCAAAUAUAACAGAAGAGAUAAGCUGAAUCCUGCCAGCGAAAGAUAAGCACUUAUUGACCCAAGAGCGAAACCGUGCCGUAAUCUUCUCAAGGAGAGGCUCAUACUCCGCAAUGCGCAGCUUACGAUUCAUCAAAGGGAGGCCCAAAUACCUA
RNAcentral lists this small RNA (1486 nucleotides) under Arabidopsis thaliana (thale cress). Its description in RNAcentral is "ATSL018260". The record is from RNAcentral. Lineage: Eukaryota; Viridiplantae; Streptophyta; Magnoliopsida; Brassicales; Brassicaceae.